RNAcentral lists this transfer RNA (74 nucleotides) under Brevundimonas sp. RNAcentral describes it as "tRNA-Gly". It matches the Rfam family "tRNA". Rfam says of the family: Transfer RNA (tRNA) molecules are approximately 80 nucleotides in length. Their secondary structure includes four short double-helical elements and three loops (D, anti-codon, and T loops). The record is from RNAcentral. Lineage: Bacteria; Pseudomonadati; Pseudomonadota; Alphaproteobacteria; Caulobacterales; Caulobacteraceae.
GCGGGUAUAGUACAAUGGUAGUACAGCAGCCUUCCAAGCUGAAUAUGUCGGUUCGAUUCCGUCUCCCCGCUCCA